CGGACGGGUGAGUAAUGCUUAGGAAUCUGCCUAUUAGUGGGGGACAACAUUUCGAAAGGAAUGCUAAUACCGCAUACGUCCUACGGGAGAAAGCAGGGGACCUUCGGGCCUUGCGCUAAUAGAUGAGCCUAAGUCGGAUUAGCUAGUUGGUGGGGUAAAGGCCUACCAAGGCGACGAUCUGUAGCGGGUCUGAGAGGAUGAUCCGCCACACUGGGACUGAGACACGGCCCAGACUCCUACGGGAGGCAGCAGUGGGGAAUAUUGGACAAUGGGGGGAACCCUGAUCCAGCCAUGCCGCGUGUGUGAAGAAGGCCUUUUGGUUGUAAAGCACUUUAAGCGAGGAGGAGGCUACUUAGAUUAAUACUCUGAGAUAGUGGACGUUACUCGCAGAAUAAGCACCGGCUAACUCUGUGCCAGCAGCCGCGGUAAUACAGAGGGUGCGAGCGUUAAUCGGAUUUACUGGGCGUAAAGCGUGCGUAGGCGGCUUUUUAAGUCGGAUGUGAAAUCCCUGAGCUUAACUUAGGAAUUGCAUUCGAUACUGGGAAGCUAGAGUAUGGGAGAGGAUGGUAGAAUUCCAGGUGUAGCGGUGAAAUGCGUAGAGAUCUGGAGGAAUACCGAUGGCGAAGGCAGCCAUCUGGCCUAAUACUGACGCUGAGGUACGAAAGCAUGGGGAGCAAACAGGAUUAGAUACCCUGGUAGUCCAUGCCGUAAACGAUGUCUACUAGCCGUUGGGGCCUUUGAGGCUUUAGUGGCGCA
Molecule: ribosomal RNA, 756 nt
Filed under: Acinetobacter sp. DH31
Lineage: Bacteria; Pseudomonadati; Pseudomonadota; Gammaproteobacteria; Moraxellales; Moraxellaceae
Description: bacterial SSU rRNA
Rfam family: Bacterial small subunit ribosomal RNA
Source: RNAcentral